This is a long non-coding RNA of Suricata suricatta (meerkat), 313 nucleotides long. RefSeq lists it as uncharacterized. Lineage: Eukaryota; Metazoa; Chordata; Mammalia; Carnivora; Herpestidae. The transcript has 3 exons. The record is from RefSeq and is a predicted model, not a curated record.
GGCUGAAGGUCUGCUCGGUGCUGCACAAGGGAAGGGGGCUGAGUCCAGAUAACUCAGACUUGAUUCCAGAAUCCACGUGCCCUCAUUGUCCAUCAUGACUCCGAGCCCCAUGAAGGUCUCCUGCUUCUCCACUACCUAAGCAGAAAUGAUCACUCAUAUCUGAAACUCCCACAACAAUUUGAGGGCUGUUUUCUACUACAUUCGACUUCCCUCCUGGACUAGGAUGUUGGUAUGGCAAAUGGCAGAAACGUGUACAAACAACUAAUUUUCAACACGACACCAAGAAAAUAAAGAGAUCUCCUCGGUUCCCUGA